This 310-nucleotide ribosomal RNA is filed under the name uncultured bacterium. RNAcentral describes it as "bacterial SSU rRNA". It matches the Rfam family "Bacterial small subunit ribosomal RNA", at positions 28 to 334 of the family's 1533-position model. The record is from RNAcentral.
GACGAACGCUGGCGGCAUGCCUAACACAUGCAAGUCGAACGGUAACAGGAAGCAGCUUGCUGCUUUGCUGACGAGUGGCGGACGGGUGAGUAAUGUCUGGGAAACUGCCUGAUGGAGGGGGAUAACUACUGGAAACGGUAGCUAAUACCGCAUAACGUCGCAAGACCAAAGAGGGGGACCUUAGGGCCUCUUGCCAUCGGAUGUGCCCAGAUGGGAUUAGCUAGUAGGUGGGGUAACGGCUCACCUAGGCGACGAUCCCUAGCUGGUCUGAGAGGAUGAACGGCCACAUUGGGACUGAGAUACGGCCCAG